UUCAAUCUGAUUGUUGUGGCCUAGGUGAACCAUACCUAGCGUCUGGAAUGUGGGUACGUAUCACUGUCAAUAUACAAAUCCGCAACUUAACCUUACAUGACCUGCCCUAUAACACCAACUAAAGAGUAAUCCAUGUAGCUCCAGAGGGUCACCCUCCCAUAAGCUAUGCUACCAAUAAGAAUAGGCUAAAGCCCUUAUCAAGCAUAAGCUUGCAUUGUAAUUGUGGGGGCAAAGUCUCUUUAUGCUCG
Molecule: long non-coding RNA, 248 nt
Filed under: Actinidia chinensis (golden kiwifruit)
Lineage: Eukaryota; Viridiplantae; Streptophyta; Magnoliopsida; Ericales; Actinidiaceae
Description: long non-coding RNA (ACHI_LNC006598)
Source: RNAcentral